This is a non-coding RNA of Coturnix japonica (Japanese quail), 393 nucleotides long. The record is from RefSeq and is a predicted model, not a curated record. Lineage: Eukaryota; Metazoa; Chordata; Aves; Galliformes; Phasianidae.
ACGUAAGCUGGUUGAGUCAUACUGGUCGUUUCAGCACCUGUUCUAAUGGACCUCAGCUGUUGAACCAGGUGCAGAAGAGAUCAGUAAGUAAGCACAUGCUUACCAUUUUCUUCUUCACUGCACAUGUAAGAAGCAGAUGGAAGCUGCUGUCCCUUCAAAAAAGAGACAGCAAACUUUAUCUUUGAUGCUACAGGAGAGUCAAAGAACACAAUGCAAUGCUCAGCAAGCCAUCAAAGCAGCAGUAAAGCCUUCCCCUCCUUGCUCCUAAGCUCAAGUGUUAUCUCAACUACCCACCUGGAGAGGGCCUCAUGUCCCCAGGUACACCUGGGAACAUCUGUGUGGGGCAGCAAGGACUUCAUGUGUUCUAAUGAAACUCUGCCAACUUCUGUUAGG